This 315-nucleotide ribosomal RNA is filed under the name Triticum aestivum (bread wheat). RNAcentral describes it as "partial small subunit ribosomal RNA". The record is from RNAcentral. Lineage: Eukaryota; Viridiplantae; Streptophyta; Magnoliopsida; Poales; Poaceae.
AUGACUUCGGCAGCAACCAACAACACAAAAAAGAAAAGGAAUAGCCUAUCUCCCGUGCCACAUAUGAGGAACUACACAUGGCCCCUAUGCUUUGUAGCUCUUGUAGCCAUGGCCACCACUUUCGUCUCAGGCCAUGCAACAAGGAGUUACAUAGGUACAACUGACAUGUGUGCAGCUGGAGCUGACGACCACUGUUCGCCACCAGAACGAGCUACUGGUAACAUUUUGUGCAAGGCUUGCUGCGCUGCCCAAGGUUAUGACAAGGAUAAGAGCAGUUGUUGUCAAGGCAGUAGUAGCUCCUGCUGCUGUGUAUAG